GCUGCGAUCUGACUCGUGUGCUUUAUUCAAACAGACGGCAGAAAAAACAAAGUAAACAAAACCAAGAUGAAGAAGACGUCUCUGAUCAGAACAGUCAAAAGGAUCCAGGAGCAGCUGGAUCCUGCUGGGAUUAUCAACCCCUCCAGGAAAUCCUCCAGAUCAAUGGACCUGGCAAAACUGACUGAGGAGAGCAUCGUGAGCGAACAUGUGAGACGUGAGUA
Long non-coding RNA from Clarias gariepinus (North African catfish), 221 nucleotides. RefSeq lists it as uncharacterized. The transcript has 3 exons. The record is from RefSeq and is a predicted model, not a curated record. NCBI's taxonomy places the organism in Eukaryota, Metazoa, Chordata, Actinopteri, Siluriformes, Clariidae.